UGCCUUCCCCCUAACACCCAGCCAUCUUCACAGCUUCUUUGAGAGGUUCAUACAUAAUUCAUCCAAGCUACGUAGAGUCUCAAGAAUAUGACUAACACAGGUGAGUCAGCAAAUUAGACAUCUGUUGCACCACCUAAUGAAUACAAAGGCUAUUGGUGAUCUCAAAAAUCCAUCAUUCACUGACUACUGAAGAUAUCCUAGCACCGAAGGCGGAAAUAUUUUCAACAUUUUUGAAAAAAAAAAAUUUUGUGCAUGUAUAGUGCAAAUGGAAUUGGUUUCUUACAUAAUAAAUAUGCUCAUCCAUAUCUGGUGAAAUAAAAAUGAACACCUGUUAUGUCAACCCCCGCCCCAUCACUUCCUAAAAAUAGAUUUUGCUUUAAUCAACAUUUACCAGUCUGCG
Molecule: non-coding RNA, 400 nt
Organism: Pelobates cultripes (western spadefoot toad)
Lineage: Eukaryota; Metazoa; Chordata; Amphibia; Anura; Pelobatidae
Source: the annotation of a GenBank genome assembly